RNAcentral lists this ribosomal RNA (1234 nucleotides) under uncultured bacterium. RNAcentral describes it as "partial 16S ribosomal RNA". It matches the Rfam family "Bacterial small subunit ribosomal RNA", at positions 153 to 1371 of the family's 1533-position model. The record is from RNAcentral.
GGGAAUCGAAUUAAUACCGCAUACGACCUACGGGAGAAAGGGGGCAACUUGUUGCUCUCGCUAUUAGAUGAGCCUAAGUCGGAUUAGCUAGAUGGUGGGGUAAAGGCCUACCAUGGCGACGAUCUGUAGCUGGUCUGAGAGGAUGAUCAGCCACACCGGGACUGAGACACGGCCCGGACUCCUACGGGAGGCAGCAGUGGGGAAUAUUGGACAAUGGGGGAAACCCUGAUCCAGCCAUGCCGCGUGUGUGAAGAAGGCCUUUUGGUUGUAAAGCACUUUAAGCAGUGAAGAAGACUCUUCGGUUAAUACCCGGAGACGAUGACAUUAGCUGCAGAAUAAGCACCGGCUAACUCUGUGCCAGCAGCCGCGGUAAUACAGAGGGUGCAAGCGUUAAUCGGAAUUACUGGGCGUAAAGCGUACGCAGGCGGUUUGUUAAGCGAGAUGUGAAAGCCCCGGGCUCAACCUGGGAACUGCAUUUCGAACUGGCAAACUAGAGCGUGAUAGAGGGUGGUAGAAUUUCAGGUGUAGCGGUGAAAUGCGUAGAGAUCUGAANGNGANANUACCGANUGGCGAAGGCAGCCACCUGGGUCAACACUGACGCUCAUGUACGAAAGCGUGGGGAGCAAACGGGAUUAGAUACCCCGGUAGUCCACGCCGUAAACGAUGUCUNACUAGAAGCUCGGAGCCUCGGUUNCUGUUUUUNCAAAGCUAACGCAUUAAGUAGACCGCCUGGGGAGUACGGCCGCNAAGGUUNAAAANCUCAAAUGAAUUGACGGGGGCCCGCACAAGCGGUNGGAGCAUGNUGGUUUAAUUCGAAGCAACGNCGAAGAACCUUACCAGGCCUUGACAUCCAAUGAACUUUCUAGAGAUAGAUCGGUGCCUUCGGGAACAUUGAGACAGGUGCUGCAUGGCUGUCGUCAGCUCGUGUCGUGAGAUGUUGGGUUAAGUCCCGUAACGAGCGCAACCCUUGUCCUUAGUUACCAGCACGUAAUGGCGGGCACUCUAAGGAGACUGCCGGUGACAAACCGGAGGAAGGUGGGGGUGACGUCAAGUCAUCAUGGCCCUUACGGCCUGGGCUACACACGUGCUACAAUGGUCGGUACAAAGGGUUGCCAAGCCGCGAGGUGGAGCUAAUCCCAUAAAACCGAUCGUAGUCCGGAUCGCAGUCUGCAACUCGACUGCGUGAAGUCGGAAUCGCUAGUAAUCGUGAAUCAGAAUGUCACGGUGAAUACGU